Molecule: ribosomal RNA, 497 nt
Filed under: uncultured bacterium
Lineage: Bacteria
Description: partial 16S ribosomal RNA
Rfam family: Bacterial small subunit ribosomal RNA
Source: RNAcentral
GAUGAACGCUGGCUGCGUGCCUAAUACAUGCAAGUCGAGCGAACAGACGAGGAUCUUGCUCCUCUUACGUUAGCGGCUGAUGGGUGAGUAACACGUGGAUAACCUACCUAUAAGACUGGUAUCACUUCGGGAAACCGGAUCUAAUACCGGAUAAUGUAUUGAACCGCAUCGUUCAUUAGUGACAGACGCUUUUGUUUUCACUGAUAGAUGGAUCCUCGCCGCAUUAUCUAGUUGGUAAUUUAACGGCUUACCAACUCAACGAUGCGUAGCCGACCUGAGAGGGUGAUACUCCACACUUGAACUGAGGCACGGUCCAGACUCCUACGGGAGGCAGACGUAGGGAAUCUUCCGCUAUAGGCGAAAGCCUAACGGAGCAACGUCGCGUGAGUGAUGCAGGUCUUGGGAUAGUAAAACUCUGUUAUUAGGGAAGACCAAAUAUGUAAGUAACUAUGCACGUCUUGACGGUACCUAAACAGAGAGCCACGGCUAAGUACGUG